RNAcentral lists this ribosomal RNA (376 nucleotides) under uncultured bacterium. Its description in RNAcentral is "bacterial SSU rRNA". It matches the Rfam family "Bacterial small subunit ribosomal RNA", at positions 523 to 898 of the family's 1533-position model. The record is from RNAcentral.
AUACGAAGGGAGCUAGCGUUGUUCGGAAUUACUGGGCGUAAAGGGCGCGUAGGCGGUUCGGCAAGUCAGAUGUGAAAGCCCUGGGCUCAACCCGGGAAUUGCGUUUGAGACUGCUGAGCUUGAAUUCGGGAGAGGUUGGUAGAAUUCCCAGUGUAGAGGUGAAAUUCGUAGAUAUUGGGAAGAAUACCCGUGGCGAAGGCGGCCAACUGGACCGACAUUGACGCUGAGGCGCGAAAGCGUGGGGAGCAAACAGGAUUAGAUACCCUGGUAGUCCACGCUGUAAACGAUGCAUGCUAGACGUCAGAGGGCUUAGCCCUUGGGUGUCGCAGCUAACGCACUAAGCAUGCCGCCUGGGGAGUACGGCCGCAAGGUUGAA